GGAGAUCGCUGAUCGGGCCAAGGAAACUAGGAAACGCGCCGAAGAAUUAGGUAUGAGGAAAAAAAGAGGAUGGGAUAUUUCUUCUCGAGCCCCACGCAGGUGGGACACGCCCAUCUCGCUUAGCACGGAAGGCACGCAUCCAGCCCAAUCAUUUCCUCUUCCCCUCCACCCAGUUCUUGCAAUCUACUGAUGCGCCGCCGCGCUCUCUCUUCGACGGUAUUCCAUCAUCAAAUUCGCUACCGCCACCAUCUUCAUCUCCAUGCCCGUCCGUUGCAGCAGCCCACCCAAAAGCAGGCCGAAGAGGAGAAAAGUGUGCGAUUUGGUGGCGGCGGCAUCCACGGUGGCAACAGAACCGACCUCCACAGCGGUCGUAACUAGGGACGGUGGCGGCGGAAUUUGAAAACGGCGGAGACCUGCGCCACGACCCCUCCGGCAAUGAUCGUUGAUUUGUCAUGUCGAGAGAGUGUUUGAUGAAUUUUGAUGUAGUCAAAGAUAAUCCGUCACUGAUGUUGUUUCUGCAUAUGUUAUUUUCCUGAUUUAGAUAACCUUUUUCAAUCUUCUGAUUUGGCAGUUCCGUGUAGACAUGAAAUUGCUUCAUUCUAUCCUGCAGUUUAGGUACACUCCUUCAAUUGAAUUAAGUGAAAAAAGUUGUAGGGGUUUGUGAUCCAUCCAAAUAAAUAUAUUUGAAGGUUUUAUGAUGUCUGGAGUCAUCCUACAUUCUUUGCCUUCGCUAUGCUUUUAUCUACUAAGCAUCUAUAACCUACAAAAGUUAAGUUACAUAGCUAAAUUAAAGACCGCUAUAUCACUGCUCGUAAGAUUUCCAAUGAAUUAACUAUUUCCAGAGAUUCAGUUGAAAACCUGCAAAUCUCUAUCAAAAUUUACAUGCCCAGGAGAAGAGAAACACUUAGGUCAAUGGUAGCCCACCUCCAAUAUUGCUGCUUAUGCUGAUUCUGCACACAAAUAUUUGGAGUGAAAAGGUAAAGGAUUAGAAUUGAGCUAAAGGUCAACUUGUUUUGUAUAUUUUGAAUUGUUCUCACAGGAAAGUUUUUCUUGUUUAUCUAUAAUGCAAUCACCCCCACACUCUCUACUUUCAUGAAAUUUUGUAGUUUGUAGAUUAAGAGUGAGAGUAUGUUAAUGGUCUUGGACCAGUAUGGUUUGUGGCUACUACUGGCAUGUCCUGUGAAGUUGCAUGUUGUGUGACAAGUAUAGUGGAUCUAAAACUAUUCACAGUUUACCAUUUUAAUUGUUUGAGAAAGUAGUACUCCCUCUAGCCCGAAUUAAUUGACGCAGCUCAUGAAUUGAUUAAUGUAGAGAGGAGGCCCUUGGCAAAUGCGGUGCAAGAUGCUGAUAACCAACAUUUUGCCUUGGUCUCCGAGAGUUUCAGUGACCCCGGUCCACAUGGAGCAGGUAGAUACUCUGACAAUAUGUUACAUGAUAUGGUCAAGAGAGAUUGGAGAAAAAGGUGCACAAGGGAUAAUUUAUAUGCUUGAUUGCCUUAGAAAGUGCAAGCAUCGUUUCGAGAUUGGAGAAAAAGUGUCUCGCAGUGAAACAGCAGCAUGCAGUUCUAUUCUUGCUGGCACUUCACCAAGGAAAGAUCAAAUGCUACUAUAAGAAUAUCGAUGGACGAAGUGGUGGUGGUUACAUUGACAAGUCAGCGAGCAUCACUGCCAAACACCUUAUGCCACAGUGCCCCAACUCUCCGCUUCAUAGGUGAUAUGGCAGACAAGGACACCCACCUUUUUUUCGAUUUGAUGUUUGUUCAGGACGCACGGGUUUUUACUAAACUGCAUCUUAUGUUCAUCCUUUGUUUCAUCUUCACAAGACAGUGGGAUUGUUUUUAUUUUAGUUCUUAGAUUUUUUGGUGCUCUACCUUGGAGCCUGAGUACAAAUAUGACUUGUGUAUGCAGCGUGCUAGCAUCAUCAUGUAUUGUAGUUUUUUUUAAUUUCCUUUCUACUUAUGAAAUAUUAUCUGUCAUUAUGAACUUCACAUUGUUGUUUAGCUGAUAUUAUCGUGUCAACCAGAUAGCUCUCCAAGUAUCAAGCUCUGCUUAGGAUUUAUGACUGCACCAAAUAUGAGGUUGUAUUACAUGUUGCCAGCAGGCAGAAAGAAUGCAUUGGCAGAAACGAGGCUGAGAGUUUAAGGUCCUUCUUCAGGAGAUUAGUACUUAUUUUGUCUUGCAAGAAGCUAUGUAUCUAGAUUUACGAAUAGUCUCGCUGUUUUUAUAUGUGAGACAGUUGUUUUACAUCUUCAUUGUUCUGCCCAAAGUUCAAAACUUUGAUUUCUGCAAACAAGCUGCCUGAGAAGGCUCAUCUGCCCCAA
Lolium rigidum is the source of this 2320-nucleotide long non-coding RNA. RefSeq lists it as uncharacterized. The transcript is spliced from 6 exons. NCBI's taxonomy places the organism in Eukaryota, Viridiplantae, Streptophyta, Magnoliopsida, Poales, Poaceae. The record is from RefSeq and is a predicted model, not a curated record.